This 522-nucleotide ribosomal RNA is filed under the name uncultured bacterium. Its description in RNAcentral is "bacterial SSU rRNA". It matches the Rfam family "Bacterial small subunit ribosomal RNA", at positions 777 to 1297 of the family's 1533-position model. The record is from RNAcentral.
AAUAGAUACCCGUGGUAGUCCACGCCGUAAACGGUGGGCGCUAGGUGUGGGGCACGUUUCCACGUGCUCUGUGCCGCAGCUAACGCAUUAAGCGCCCCGCCUGGGGAGUACGGCCGCAAGGCUAAAACUCAAAGGAAUUGACGGGGGCCCGCACAAGCGGCGGAGCAUGCGGCUUAAUUCGAAGCAACGCGGAGAACCUUACCAAGGCUUGACAUAUAGGGAAAUCUCAUAGAGAUAUGAGGUCCGCAAGGGCCCUAUACAGGUGGUGCAUGGUUGUCGUCAGCUCGUGUCGUGAGAUGUUGGGUUAAGUCCCGCAACGAGCGCAACCCUCGUUCUAUGUUGCCAGCACGUAAUGGUGGGGACUCAUAGGAGACUGCCGGGGUCAACUCGGAGGAAGGUGGGGAUGACGUCAAAUCAUCAUGCCCCUUAUGUCUUGGGCUGCACGCAUGCUACAAUGGAUGGUACAGAGGGCUGCGAUACCGUAAGGUGGAGCGAAUCCCACAAAGCCAUUCUCAGUUCGGU